AUUGAACGCUGGCGGCAGGCCUAACACAUGCAAGUCGAACGAGUGGCGGACGGGUGAGUAAUGUCUGGGAAACUGCCUGAUGGAGGGGGAUAACUACUGGAAACGGUAGCUAAUACCGCAUAACAUCAGAUGGGCCCAGAUGGGAUUAGCUUGUUGGGGGGGUAACGGCUCACCAAGGCGAAGAUCCCUAGCUGGUCUGAGAGGAUGCCCAUCCAACCGGGAACUGAGACCUGGUCCAUACUCCUACGGGAGGUAGCAGUGGGGCAUAUUGCACAAUGGGAGCAAGCCUGAUGCAGCCAUGCCGCGGGUAUGAAGAAGGUCUUCGGGUUGUAAAGUACUUUCAGCGGGGAGGCGUUACCCGCAGAAGAAGCACCGGCUAACUCCGUGCCAGCAGCCGCGGUAAUUC
RNAcentral lists this ribosomal RNA (406 nucleotides) under uncultured bacterium. RNAcentral describes it as "partial 16S ribosomal RNA". It matches the Rfam family "Bacterial small subunit ribosomal RNA", at positions 30 to 526 of the family's 1533-position model. The record is from RNAcentral.